GAGGGUAUACUUGGAGACAAGAAAUUGAAAAGGAAGCAGUAAACAGGAGCUGGGAAUGCUAAUAAGGAUAUUAGCAUGAGCUGCAGCUAAGUUAAAGGGCUAAGGAAGUGACAAGGAUUUCUUUAAGCUGGGGAUGUCAAAGGGACAUGGUUUAAUACUGAAAACUCAGCAAUUUCCUUAAAUUACGAGUGAUGGCCAAGUUGGGAUUUGUAAGGAGAAAGAAAGAAUAGAGUAUAAAGCAAAUAAGCUAAAUGGAAUUGUCUUUUCCCUGUUAAGACAUCACCACUCCUUCUCCCUGCGCUCUCCUUUCCAAUUCAGUACCCUCAUUCCCUCUUUUUUCCUCAUGGUUCCUUCCUUGUUCAGCCAUAUUGCCGAACCCCUCCUCUCUUAUUAUAACUUCAUGUAGUUCGGGUAUUGUAAGAAUUAAAGCAAAGGAAGGAUUACUAAAGGGAUACAAUUGAGCAACAAGGUAACCCAAUUUACAUGUUCUAUAACUUUUAAUUAUGGAAAUAGCUAACAGUAAAGGAAAAUUGGUAACUUGAUUUGGGUUAAUUAGUUUUGAAUUAUAUAAUUAAUUUCUAGUGACUGUAAUUGGUAUGUGAUAGCUUGGAUAAGUAAUUGUUGUUGUUAUAUGAAUUAGAAAAAAAGGGAUUAGUAGUUGUUGUGCAGAGAAUUAAGGUUGGAGGAUUUCCAUGGUGAAAUCCUAGCCAAACCAAAAACAAAUGGCUAUGAAAAUCUGAAAAUUAAGAGAUGCACACUAACUGUUUGAUAAAAUGCCCAAAUAAGAUUUCCAAGCUUAAAAAUGAAUAAUUACCUGAAGCUUGGAACUAGAAGACAUUUGAAUAGGUAGUAUAAGGUUUCCUAAGUCCAUUAGUGGAACCAAAACAAGUUUGUAAAGCAAUGGAUGAAAUUAAAUCAAAUGAAAUUUCCUUAAAAAGGUUCCACAAGUUUGUAAAGCAAUGAAAUGAAAUUGAAUCAAAUGAAAUUUCCUUAAAAAGGGUAUGAACACUGAGUUUUGAGCUUUUAAUUAGGUGUCUUAAUAAUGUUGUUAGAGACCAAACUUGGAUGAAAAAUGUACCUUAUAACAAGGUCUCGAAGUUGGAACAAGUUUCAAGUCAUUUGAACUUGUAUAGCAAAAGUUACGCUAACUUAGGGGGCUUGAAAAAACAAAAUCCGAAAAGUUAGUGGACUGCUGACCCUAAAAGAAAAAUUCGGGGAUAGCUAAAUUGUUCACAAAAUUUUGGGCUUUUGGGGAAGUAUAGUACACUGAAUAAGCUUUCUGUAGACUCCGGAAUAGACUAAUUCCGACUUCGGAGAAAGGAAUUAUGACAUUUCAAAGUAGUUGCGUCAAAUCUGUCUAAUAAAUUCAGAGCAGUCCAGUUGCACGAAUUUUCUGGAAUUAUGUGUUUAGAAUUUAAAAAAGGUUAAUGAAUAAAAGUUGUAGCCCCGGAAGUUAGCUUCGCGUGGGCGCAAGAAUCGUUAAAAAAUGUUUUGAAAUGAAUUAGUUAUGACUGUUUUAGCAAGAGAGGGUAAAACUGGGAAAAAGUUAAAAAUUGUUAUGAACGUCCACUUUUGACGCACUGUUUGGGCUGUCUAACGAACCCGGGAUGCGGGUUUAAUAUUUUUUAAAAAUAUUUUAAUAUGUUAAGAAAAACAUACUGAAAAUUGGACGCGAUCCGGUAAGUGAGCAAAGCGUGAGAAAUUCGCGAAGUGGCUGACCUGUUAAGCGAAGAAACAGAGUAGUAGCCAGCGCUGCACUUGCCGUGCUGUGCUGUGCCAGGUGCAGUUGCCUGACAUGCUUUUCAUGCGCUUCUUUGUUCGAUCUUCGUCACUUAUUUUCACGGUUAGAAAAUUUCUAAAAAUAUUUAGACAUAACAACUAAAACAUACCCAAAAUUCGCCGCGAGUUGAGUAAUAGUUUAAAAGAUAAAAAAAAUGGAGAAAUAGUGUGUCAGAACAUGGACUGCCUGGCCAGUUGGCUGGCGCCAUUCCUGGCUGUGCCUGGCAGUCGUGGGCUGCUCGGCGAAUCGUAGUUUUGCGACACGUUUGGACUAGUUUUGUAGCGACGUAAAGCAUAACGAGACACCGGAAUGGUAGUUUAAAUGUAAUAUAAUAACUUUAUAUACCAUGAAAACUCAUCUCGAGCGUAAAGAAAGCAAUAUGAAUGUAAUGUAAACGUAAGUUUACAUGUUUAUGCAAGCGUAAGCUGGAAAAUGAUAUGUAAAAUGGUUAUGCAGCAAAAUGAAAUGCUUGAAUCUGUUUAAAAUUGUAUUGAAAAUAAAAUAUUAAAACGAAGAUUUUCGGAGUUCAAAACGAAGGUUUUGAACAUGGAAUUACAUAACGACGUAUAUAUGAAUUUAAAAUAUAUGUGAAUCGAGAACGUGAAAUAAUCGCGAGAAUAAAUGCGAAGCUAAGCUACUAAUGAAGCAAAACAUUCGCGUAUGUGGCGAUAGCAUGGUUUAGCACAUGAGCUAUUGAAAAGACGUAAUAAUUAUGAAGAUUAAGAAAAUGAUGAGAUGAGCUAUGUUUACGCAGUAAAAGCUAUUCAUAAACCAUAUGGUCCAGAGUUUAUAAAUAUAGACAAGAAAUAUUCUUAAAACGGGUUGUAAAUGGUUUAUAACUCUAAACGUAGAUUAUUUAUAUACUAAAGCCAUGAGAGAACCUUUUUGGACAUAAAAGGGUUAUAAUGAACAAAAAGUUUCUAAAGAAACAUAAAAUAGUUUUAAGACAAGAACAAAGGAUUAUAGUUGAGGUAAAUAAAAUUAGUGUACAUUGAGUAUGUGAAUUUAGUAUGUGAAACUAAUAUGAACAUGUAUGUAUCCUCAAUUUGUGUAGGAUCAUGACAUAGCAAAUAAGUUAUAAACAUUAAACAUCAUCCAAGACAAGAUUUUCAGUUCUGUUAUGUUUGUGGGUUGAAUGUGUUAAUGUGCUAAAUUACAUAUCAUGCUCUAUGAAUUGUUAAAGUCAAAAUAUGACUAAGUUAAUUAGGUAUGGAACUCAGUUUAUAUGUGAUAUGUGAUAACACAUGUUGUAUGAUGUAACGCAAUAAUUGAAAAUGUAUAAUGCAAGAAUAUAUGCAUUGCACGAAAUUAUUGAUGCAUGUAGUAUAUGUAUAGCAAAGAAAGUAUGUUGCAUGUGGUGAAUGUAGAGUUGUGUGCUAUAUGAAGCAUGAUAAACUGUUAAAUUUGUUAGGCUGUCGAGCUCAAUCUUGCAAACACAAACUUUUUGCAGGUUAAUGACGUUAUGCAAUAUUAUUUUCUAUGCGGAUGAUGAAGGAUGUACGAAAUGAAUACAUUUUCUUGAAUUAGAAAUUGUAAAAAGCUAUAUAUGAUUAAUGGUUUUUUUUAUAGGUAACUGACAGUUACAUUUAAAAUAUUUAAUAGAGAAUAUUUAUUCUGGAUGUAUUGUAAUGAAUAUUUUAUAAAAAUAAAGUGAUAUAGUGACAUUACUAUAUAAGAAAGAUAUUAACUAUUGAGACUUGAAGCUCUUAAUAUAUUUACCC
This 3501-nucleotide long non-coding RNA is filed under the name Panax ginseng (ginseng). Its description in RNAcentral is "long non-coding RNA (PGIN_LNC016127)". The record is from RNAcentral. Lineage: Eukaryota; Viridiplantae; Streptophyta; Magnoliopsida; Apiales; Araliaceae.